ACAACCUCCAGCUGUUUCCAGCCAGAGUCCUUGUUCAAUCCUCUGAAGCAGCCAAGUGGACUCAGCCCAGCCAGAGUCCAGACUGCCCGCUGAAGGCUGUGAGAAAAUGUGAGGUCAGAGGUCAUCCUGCAGACUCCGUGGAUGGGGACAAACUGGACCAGAGCCUAGGCUUGGAACCAAACGGAACUGUAAGUUGCGGUGAGCUGGGGACUAUUCUGCAGUCGCAGCACGCAGGCUUAUCACUGUGGUGGCUUCUCUCAUUGCGGACCACGGGCUCCAGAGAACUUCCCUGACCAGAGAUCAGAGAUCAAACAUGUGCCUGCUGCAGUGGAAGCAUGGAGUUUUAGCCACUGGCCCAAAAGGAAGUCCGAGUGUAUCGUUUUACAUAAAGUAAU
Long non-coding RNA from Bos taurus (domestic cattle), 395 nucleotides. The record is from Ensembl. NCBI's taxonomy places the organism in Eukaryota, Metazoa, Chordata, Mammalia, Artiodactyla, Bovidae.